AUACGUAGGUGGCAAGCGUUGUCCGGAAUUAUUGGGCGUAAAGCGCGCGCAGGUGGUUCCUUAAGUCUGAUGUGAAAGCCCCCGGUUCAACCGGGGAGGGUCAUUGGAAACUGGGGAACUUGAGUGCAGAAGAGGAUAGUGGAAUUCCAAGUGUAGCGGUGAAAUGCGUAGAGAUUUGGAGGAACACCAGUGGCGAAGGCGACUGUCUGGUCUGUAACUGACACUGAGGCGCGAAAGCGUGGGGAGCAAACAGGAUUAGAUACCCUGGUAGUCCACGCCGUAAACGAUGAGUGCUAAGUGUUGGGGGGUUUCCGCCCCUCAGUGCUGCAGCUAACGCAUUAAGCACUCCGCCUGGGGAGUACGGUCGCAAGACUGAAACUCAAAGGAAUUGACGGG
RNAcentral lists this ribosomal RNA (396 nucleotides) under uncultured bacterium. RNAcentral describes it as "partial 16S ribosomal RNA". It matches the Rfam family "Bacterial small subunit ribosomal RNA", at positions 523 to 917 of the family's 1533-position model. The record is from RNAcentral.